This is a long non-coding RNA of Triticum dicoccoides, 567 nucleotides long. RefSeq lists it as uncharacterized. The transcript has 2 exons. The record is from RefSeq and is a predicted model, not a curated record. Lineage: Eukaryota; Viridiplantae; Streptophyta; Magnoliopsida; Poales; Poaceae.
UCCCUUUCCUCUCCCGUAACCCGGCCCUAUCCCCUCCCUCUCUGUGCGCCGCCGCUUUCUCGUCUCGCCCCUCGCUCUCAGGUGCGCCGCCGCUCCCUCUUAGCCCCUCCCUCUCCGGCGCGCGGUCACUCCCUCGUCCCCCUUCCCUCUCCGCACAAAAAGGGAGGAAAAUGGGGUGCUAGGAAGAAGAGGAGCACGUGCGGACGGCAAGCAGAUGCGUGGCUGCUGUUGCAGCUGGCCUACAGCAGCGAUUGCGAUCUUCCUCCUUGAAUAUGCUUUGGCUCUACAGAUUUUACUGCAUGUAGCUACGAGAGAGAUGGAGAGGAUAUUGAGAUGACACUCGUGGUUGCUUUUUGAUUAAAGUUUGGUGUUCUAUGCUGUUCAAAUUUGUGCCAUAUCCUUUGCAAGGAUUGUUAAUUAGUUUCUCUGAAACAAAAUAGGCACACUCAAAUUGCUAUUGUCUGCUACUCCUACAUCUUUGUAAUAAUUAGUGGAGCCAUUGUUUUUUAAAAGGAUGUUGUUUUCCUUGCAAAUAUAAACAAAAAUGCUGCUGAAAUUUUGUAUUUU